UUACGGCCAUAUCACGUUGAAACACUAGUUCACGUACGAUCACCGAAGUUAAGCAAUGUCGAGUUAGAUGGGUGACCGCUUGGAAAUAUCAGGUGCUGUAA
This is a non-coding RNA of Acanthosepion pharaonis, 101 nucleotides long. Lineage: Eukaryota; Metazoa; Mollusca; Cephalopoda; Sepiida; Sepiidae. The record is from the annotation of a GenBank genome assembly.